This 253-nucleotide ribosomal RNA is filed under the name uncultured bacterium. Its description in RNAcentral is "partial 16S ribosomal RNA". It matches the Rfam family "Bacterial small subunit ribosomal RNA", at positions 524 to 776 of the family's 1533-position model. The record is from RNAcentral.
UACGAAGGGGGCUAGCGUUGCUCGGAAUUACUGGGCGUAAAGGGCGCGUAGGCGGCGCAUUUAGUCAGGCGUGAAAUUCCUGGGCUCAACCUGGGGACUGCGCUUGAUACGGGUGUGCUAGAGGGCAGGAGAGGCUCGCGGAAUUCCCGGUGUAGAGGUGAAAUUCGUAGAUAUCGGGAGGAACACCAGUGGCGAAGGCGGCGAUCUGGGAAGAUACUGACGCUGAGGUGCGAAAGCGUGGGGAGCAAACAGG